GUAGGUGAACCUGCGGAAAGAUAUUA
This 26-nucleotide ribosomal RNA is filed under the name Melanoleuca substrictipes. RNAcentral describes it as "partial 18S ribosomal RNA". RNAcentral also lists the same sequence under 1 other name. The record is from RNAcentral. Lineage: Eukaryota; Fungi; Basidiomycota; Agaricomycetes; Agaricales; Pluteaceae.